Molecule: ribosomal RNA, 407 nt
Filed under: uncultured cyanobacterium
Lineage: Bacteria; Bacillati; Cyanobacteriota
Description: bacterial SSU rRNA
Rfam family: Bacterial small subunit ribosomal RNA
Source: RNAcentral
GUGAGGAAUUUUCCGCAAUGGGCGAAGGCCUGACGGAGCAAUGCCGCGUGGAGGAUGACAGCCCAUGGGUCGUAAACUCCUUUUCUUGGAGAAGAAAUUUUGACGGUAUCUGAGGAAUAAGCAUCGGCUAACUCCGUGCCAGCAGCCGCGGUAAUACGGAGGAUGCAAGCGUUGUCCGGAAUCAUUGGGCGUAAAGGGUCCUGAGGUGGUUUGCUCAGUCCACUGUGAAAGUUCAGGGCUUACCCUUGAAAAUGCGGUGGAAACUAGUAGGCUAGAGUACGGUGGGGGCAGAGGGAAUUCCCGAUGUAGCGGUGAAAUGCAUAGAUAUCGGGAAGAACACCGAUGGCGAAGGCACUCUGCUGGGCCGACACUGACACUGAAAGACGAAAGCCAGGGUAGCGAAUGGG